Molecule: ribosomal RNA, 519 nt
Filed under: Arthrobacter sp. LV-7
Lineage: Bacteria; Bacillati; Actinomycetota; Actinomycetes; Micrococcales; Micrococcaceae
Description: bacterial SSU rRNA
Rfam family: Bacterial small subunit ribosomal RNA
Source: RNAcentral
CAUGCAGUCGAACGAUGAACCUCACUUGUGGGGGGAUUAGUGGCGAACGGGUGAGUAACACGUGAGUAACCUGCCCUUAACUCUGGGAUAAGCCUGGGAAACUGGGUCUAAUACCGGAUAUGACUCCUCAUCGCAUGGUGGGGGGUGGAAAGCUUUAUUGUGGUUUUGGAUGGACUCGCGGCCUAUCAGCUUGUUGGUGAGGUAAUGGCUCACCAAGGCGACGACGGGUAGCCGGCCUGAGAGGGUGACCGGCCACACUGGGACUGAGACACGGCCCAGACUCCUACGGGAGGCAGCAGUGGGGAAUAUUGCACAAUGGGCGAAAGCCUGAUGCAGCGACGCCGCGUGAGGGAUGACGGCCUUCGGGUUGUAAACCUCUUUCAGUAGGGAAGAAGCGAAAGUGACGGUACCUGCAGAAGAAGCGCCGGCUAACUACGUGCCAGCAGCCGCGGUAAUACGUAGGGCGCAAGCGUUAUCCGGAAUUAUUGGGCGUAAAGAGCUCGUAGGCGGUUUGUCGCG